CUCAAGGCGCUCAAGGCUAUAAACAUUUUCAAAUUUAAUGAAUUUUCUUGUUGGAUUUGUUUUUGAUAGGCCACGGAAAAGGAAACGGAUUUUGAAAUGUAUUUUUAUUGCUUGUUUCUGGCGGUGGUUCUGGAGACAGCGUGUCGAUCCAGCUGUAGAACGUCAUCCGGAGGUGGCAGAGUGUGAUGGCCAGCCACGCGGCGCGCGUAUCGACAUUGACCAGAAACUAUCACAUCAUCUCCAGGUCACUGGUCGAGGGCGCUCGAGCUGACGGUGUCUUCCGACGGCUCCACGGUGACCAGCGCCGCCACCGCCGAGACCAUCCGACUCCUGAAAUGCUAACGGCCGUGCACGAACAAGAGGCUCUAAGCAUCCAGGUGCAAGGCAAGCGCCAUGCUCAGAGGUGUCAUCCGAAGAAGGCCGCACAGUGCACUUUAGGGUGAGCUCGGGUGUAGUGCGCGCCGACGGAUAGGAUGAAAUGACGGGCCGGCCAUCAGAUUUCAGUGCGGGGAUCAAGAUGGUCGGAGCCGAUGUGGCUCUGUUGAUGGUGUGGCAGGGUUGAUUGAGAGUGAAAGCGAGACACCCGGAUCUGUAAAGAAUACGCCGAUACGGGUCUCGAACGUCGUCUCGCAAUUUGUGCUCUGUAAUAUGACGGCUAUGCCGUGGUAUCAUUCACUCUCGGUGCGCUAAUAAAUAAUAAAUAGGACA
This is a long non-coding RNA of Amphibalanus amphitrite, 708 nucleotides long. RefSeq lists it as uncharacterized. The transcript has 3 exons. The record is from RefSeq and is a predicted model, not a curated record. Lineage: Eukaryota; Metazoa; Arthropoda; Thecostraca; Balanomorpha; Balanidae.